RNAcentral lists this ribosomal RNA (468 nucleotides) under uncultured bacterium. RNAcentral describes it as "partial 16S ribosomal RNA". It matches the Rfam family "Bacterial small subunit ribosomal RNA", at positions 28 to 507 of the family's 1533-position model. The record is from RNAcentral.
GACGAACGCUGGCGGCGUGCUUAACACAUUCAAGUCGAACGGAAAGUCCCUGCUUUUGUGGAGUGCUCGAGUGGCGAACGGGUGAGUAACACGUGAGUAACCUGCCCUUGACUUUGGGAUAACUUCAGGAAACUGGGGCUAAUACCGGAUAGGAGCUCCUGCUGCAUGGUGGGGGUUGGAAAGUUUCGGCGGUUGGGGAUGGACUCGCGGCUUAUCAGCUUGUUGGUGGGGUAGUGGCUUACCAAGGCUUUGACGGGUUGCCGGCCUGAGAGGGUGACCGGCCACAUUGGGACUGAGAUACGGCCCAGACUCCUACGGGAGGCAGCAGUGGGGAAUAUUGCACAAUGGGCGGAAGCCUGAUGCAGCAACGCCGCGUGCGGGAUGACGGCCUUCGGGUUGUAAACCGCUUUCGCCUGUGACGAAGCGUGAGUGACGGUAAUGGGUAAAGAAGCACCGGCUAACUACGUG